UACGUAGGGGGCAAGCGUUAUCCGGAAUCAUUGGGCGUAAAGCGCGUGUAGGCGGUUCCGUAAGUCCGCUCUGAAAGCCCAGGGCUCAACCCUGGGAGGCGGGUGGAUACUACGGAACUGGAGUACGGAAGAGGAGAUUGGAAUUCCUGGUGUAGCGGUGAAAUGCGCAGAUAUCAGGAGGAACACCGAUGGCGAAGGCAGAUCUCUGGGCCGUUACUGACGCUGAGGAGCGAAAGCGUGGGGAGCGAACAGG
RNAcentral lists this ribosomal RNA (253 nucleotides) under uncultured bacterium. RNAcentral describes it as "partial 16S ribosomal RNA". It matches the Rfam family "Bacterial small subunit ribosomal RNA", at positions 524 to 776 of the family's 1533-position model. The record is from RNAcentral.